ACGUCAGGACACGUCAGGACACGUCAGGUUACGUCAGGACCUGUCAGGACACGUCAUGUUACAUCAUGACACGUCAGGACACGUCAUGUUACAUCAGGAC
Molecule: long non-coding RNA, 100 nt
Organism: Melanotaenia boesemani (Boeseman's rainbowfish)
Lineage: Eukaryota; Metazoa; Chordata; Actinopteri; Atheriniformes; Melanotaeniidae
Exons: 3
Source: RefSeq, a predicted model, not a curated record